Molecule: microRNA, 21 nt
Filed under: Brachypodium distachyon (stiff brome)
Lineage: Eukaryota; Viridiplantae; Streptophyta; Magnoliopsida; Poales; Poaceae
Description: bdi-miR5167b-5p
Source: miRBase by way of RNAcentral
UCUAGUUAAGGUAAUUUAACU